UGAUAGUUUCAUAUCUUCUUCUCACAUUUUUUCUUGUAUCAGCCUUCUGCAACGACAGAUAAAUCUUGCUCAGCAUCAAGUUAAGAGGGAACAAAAUCAAGGCAUUAACUUGUGGAGUACCCUUCCUAUCAAUUCAACCACUCCCUAUGGGGCAAAAAAAGGCAAACUUCCAGUGACUUGGCCUCAUGUAGCAGGCUUGAAUGAAUCAAUUGACCCAGCACCACUGAAU
Hibiscus syriacus is the source of this 229-nucleotide long non-coding RNA. RefSeq lists it as uncharacterized. The transcript is spliced from 3 exons. The record is from RefSeq and is a predicted model, not a curated record. NCBI's taxonomy places the organism in Eukaryota, Viridiplantae, Streptophyta, Magnoliopsida, Malvales, Malvaceae.